UUUUUGGCUUGACGGGUCAGCAUCAAUUUCGAUCCUUGGAUAAUGGCAAGGGAAAGGUAGCACCUUUUUAGGUGUGUUAUAGUCCUCUGUCGCAUGCAAGGGUUGGGAUUGAGGAACUCAGCACGCACCUCCGGGUGUCGGGGUCUUUGCCCACGUUACGUGCUUAGGAUGCUGGCGUAAUGGCUUUAAACGACCCGUCUUGAAACACGGACCAAGGAGUCUAACAUACCCGCGAGUGUUCGGGUGGAAAACCUGUGCGCGUAAUGAAAGUGAAAGUUGGGACCUCUGUCGUGGAGGGCACCGACGCCCGGACCAGACCUUCUGUGACGGCUCUGCGGUAGAGCGUGUAUGUUGGGACCCGAAAGAUGGUGAACUAUGCCUGAAUAGGGUGAAGCCAGAGGAAACUCUGGUGGAGGCUCGUAGCGAUUCUGACGUGCAAAUCGAUCGUCAAAUUUGGGUAUAGGGGCGAAAGAC
This 474-nucleotide ribosomal RNA is filed under the name Russula sp. RNAcentral describes it as "LSU rRNA". It matches the Rfam family "Eukaryotic large subunit ribosomal RNA", at positions 480 to 931 of the family's 3401-position model. Lineage: Eukaryota; Fungi; Basidiomycota; Agaricomycetes; Russulales; Russulaceae. The record is from RNAcentral.